AAAGUAGUGUGCAGCCAAGGAUGACUUGCCGAUCUAAAUAAUUUUUUCUUAAAACUCGACUAAGACAUUUUUUAGUUUCAAAUUCUUUGGUUCUUGAAGAAGAUUAAGAUAGAUAUUUUAUAUUCGAUAGUAUUUCGAAUUGAAAAGAAAAACAUAUGAUCGGCAAGUUGUCCUUGGCUACACGUUUCUUUGU
Arabis alpina (gray rockcress) is the source of this 193-nucleotide microRNA precursor. The record is from Rfam. NCBI's taxonomy places the organism in Eukaryota, Viridiplantae, Streptophyta, Magnoliopsida, Brassicales, Brassicaceae.